This 1359-nucleotide long non-coding RNA is filed under the name Numida meleagris (helmeted guineafowl). Its description in RNAcentral is "lncRNA (ENSNMEG00000013947.1)". Lineage: Eukaryota; Metazoa; Chordata; Aves; Galliformes; Numididae. The record is from RNAcentral.
CAUAAAAAAAUUUCAGCUUUAUGCUAGAAAAAGUUCUGAAGGAAAUAACUGCUAUAAUGCUUUCAUUUCAGAGGUAUUACUUUUAUACUGUGUUGGUCCGUAAUAGUACGCCUAUACAUGGAAGGUGCGGAAGAUUUAAUGACACAUAAAAUGCUGAGGUGACUGGGAAAGCAGAAUGCCCAGCUGAAAAUACCUUGAAUGGUAUUUCCUGGAAGAUGCUUGCAUUAGCGGUGAUCCUCAUUUCUAUGGCAAGACACGAAACCCCUUCAGAAAUCAUUUAUCUGAGACCUUGGGGCUACAGACUUCAAAGCUCUGAAUUUCCAUUUACUCCAAAGGGAAGUCAACAAUCUUCAGAGUAAGUAAGAAUCAGACCUUGAACCCCACUAGGUAUGGCCCUCACACAUGGAAUUUCCACACUUCUAUAGUGUGUUCCUGAGCUUCGUUCUUCUCAUUCAAAUUCCUCUUCAAGAUCCUAGGUGCCGGUGCAUUUUUAGACCUCUCUCACACCUGAUCUCUCUUAUCUGACUUUGAGAACUAGCAGUUCACUAUAUUCCCUUUCUUAUGGUUUAAACAAGGAAGCUCCGGAUCCACAGUCCUCAAAAGUUUAUCUGCAACUUUCAUUCUAUUUCUGUACUUCAUUCUGUAUUCAACACCUUUUUUUUCUCGUUAUAUUUGUCUUUGAUCCUGGCUCAAGGCUCUCACAGUCUGUUUUACUUGGCUGUGAAGAACCAUACCCAUAUGUAGUGCUGAGGCUGGAAGAAACUACAGAGCUGUAGCUGGAGUGAGGCUGGAAAGGGUCUGCCAAAGCAAACUUAAGGCUGCCAGAAGAAUUCUCCUCUGAAGAACACUGUGUUUCUCAAUAGUGCCUGGCUUAUAGCUCAAACUAUGGUUAGGAUUAGCACAGCGAAAAAGGGAAAGCCUGAAAUGCAGCAGGGAUUGAGCUGGAAAAGGCCUGGCAAAGAGAAAUAGGGCUGCCAAAAGAAAUUUUCUCCCAACAAUAUUAAGGCUCUGGACUGUACAGUAUCACUGGCCUUUGGUUCAGCAUCAGGCUUACAGUUAGGGAUGGAGAGAAAUUUUAUUUUUUUUUUUUAAUUUAAAAAGCCAAAGCUUCAGCUGGCACGGUGCUGCUAAAGGAAAACAAGGACUGCAAACGGAAAAUCCCUCGGGAAAUCCAUACUCUAGGCACGUGCUGCAGUGGUUUUUCAAGGGCUAGCGAUAGGGUAGUUUUAGGAAUAGGGAUAGGGCUGGAAAAAGCUCAAAGUUCCAGUUGGACUGAGGCUGGAAGAAACUGCUAAUGAAGCUGCCAAAUGGAGGGUUCAGUCCUGGAAGGGCUAGAGCACCCACAGAAGGCUCCGCUUG